AGUGAACGCUGGCGGUAGGCCUAACACAUGCAAGUCGAACGGCAGCACAGUAAGAGCUUGCUCUUACGGGUGGCGAGUGGCGGACGGGUGAGGAAUACAUCGCAAUCUACUUUUUCUUGGGGGAUAACGUAGGGAAACUUACGCUAAUACCGCAUACGACCUACGGGUUAAAGCAGGAGAUCUUCGGACCUUGCGCGAUUGAAUGAGCCGAUGUCGGAUUAGCUAGUUGGCGGGGUAAAGGCCCACCAAGGCGACGAUGCGUAGCUGACCUGAGAGGAUGAUCAGCCACACUGGAACUGAGACACGGUCCAGACUCCUACGGGAGGCAGCAGUGGGGAAUAUUGGACAAUGGGCGCAAGCCUGAUCCAGCCAUACCGCGUGGGUGAAGAAGGCCUUCGGGUUGUAAAGCCCUUUUGUUGGGAAAGAAAAGCAGCAGGUGAAUACCCCGCUGUUCUGACGGUACCCAAAGAAUAAGCACCGGCUAACUUCGUG
This 492-nucleotide ribosomal RNA is filed under the name uncultured bacterium. RNAcentral's name for it is "partial 16S ribosomal RNA". It matches the Rfam family "Bacterial small subunit ribosomal RNA", at positions 29 to 507 of the family's 1533-position model. The record is from RNAcentral.